GAUUAGUGGCGAACGGGUGAGUAACACGUGGGCAAUCUGCCCUGCACUCUGGGACAAGCCCUGGAAACGGGGUCUAAUACCGGAUAUCACUUCCACUCGCAUGAGUGGGGGUCGAAAGCUCCGGCGGUGCAGGAUGAGCCCGCGGCCUAUCAGCUUGUUGGUGAGGUAAUGGCUCACCAAGGCGACGACGGGUAGCCGGCCUGAGAGGGCGACCGGCCACACUGGGACUGAGACACGGCCCAGACUCCUACGGGAGGCAGCAGUGGGGAAUAUUGCACAAUGGGCGAAAGCCUGAUGCAGCGACGCCGCGUGAGGGAUGACGGCCUUCGGGUUGUAAACCUCUUUCAGCAGGGAAGAAGCGAAAGUGACGGUACCUGCAGAAGAAGCGCCGGCUAACUACGUGCCAGCAGCCGCGGUAAUACGUAGGGCGCAAGCGUUGUCCGGAAUUAUUGGGCGUAAAGAGCUCGUAGGCGGCUUGUCACGUCGGGUGUGAAAGCCCGGGGCUUAACCCCGGGUCUGCAUUCGAUACGGGCUAGCUAGAGUGUGGUAGGGGAGAUCGGAAUUCCUGGUGUAGCGGUGAAAUGCGCAGAUAUCAGGAGGAACACCGGUGGCGAAGGCGGAUCUCUGGGCCAUUACUGACGCUGAGGAGCGAAAGCGUGGGGAGCGAACAGGAUUAGAUACCCUGGUAGUCCACGCCGUAAACGGUGGGAACUAGGUGUUGGCGACAUUCCACGUCGUCUGUGCCGCAGCUAACGCAUUAAGUUCCCCGCCUGGGGAGUACGGCGCAAGGCUAAAACUCAAAGGAAUUGACGGG
Molecule: ribosomal RNA, 814 nt
Filed under: Streptomyces sp.
Lineage: Bacteria; Bacillati; Actinomycetota; Actinomycetes; Kitasatosporales; Streptomycetaceae
Description: bacterial SSU rRNA
Rfam family: Bacterial small subunit ribosomal RNA
Source: RNAcentral